UUUGUCUUCGAUUACUCACCCAAUGUUGAGUUGAAUUCUUGAAGAAAACUUAGUUUUUCGGUGAAGGAUGAAUCAAAAAGCAGAGAAAAAUCGUUAAAUCAUAAUUGAGUUUAUCAAGUAGUCCAGUACAGCCCAAACAUGUAUUUUUGCUAAAACCUUUCAAUUUGUGUACUUGUUCAGCAAAGUAGUGAGUAGUAAAUGAAAUUUGGAUUUUACUGCACGAGUUGUGUGAGGGUUUGUAAAUGGAUGUUUUCAUGUAGUUUUGCCCACAUUUACUUCAACUCUACAAGACUUUUCUCUGUAUUUCAUAUACAAAUGUUCACGUGGGAUAAUUAUUGCUGCAAAAAGUGGAACUUCUUCUUUAAGUAGAUACUUAUAUGUGGUUUGUUUCUAUGAGCAGAACCAUCUUAUACAUCUUCACGAGAUCUUCUAGCAGUGAUCAUCAUUGCGAUCAUCGUGCUCAUCUCCCUGCUUGUCUGUGUUUGCACUCUCGUGUGUUGGAGAUGGUUUAAGUCGACACGUUCAACUCAACAACCGACUCAGAGUCAAACAGCUGAAGAGCUGGCUGUUAAAGAGCCAGCACCAAAAACAGAAGAAGACAUCCAUUACGGAGAGAUCGACUUCUCCAAGCGGAGACCUGAACAGCCCUCAGAGCAAGACGGUGCACUGCAGCAGGAAACUCUGUACGCACAGGUCAAAGUGCCCGAGACAGCAAACCGCUCAACACCGACUGAUGACGAGGCGCUCUACGCCCAAGUGAAGAGGAAAUGAGGGUUGUUUGUGUCAAGACGCAGACAAAAUUUGAAUAGAAUUCUUAUAUGUACCUUUAUGUUUAUUACAUAUAUAUCUAAAUUAUAUUACUGUACCGUAUGUUUUUAUGUUUGUAGAAAAAGACACCUGGACAUGAAAAAGUCAUUUUCACUGCUUACAGUUCAAUAAAGGGAAACUCCAAACCUCCACCCCCUGCAGCUUUCUUAUGUCUAUUCUCUUCAUUUCAUAGCUUUCCUCUUGGUUGCGCUGCUUCCAGCCUCAGAUCGAGAUUUGGAGGUCUGGCCUUUAUGUUAGAGUUUUU
This 1072-nucleotide long non-coding RNA is filed under the name Cottoperca gobio. RNAcentral describes it as "lncRNA (ENSCGOG00000006079.1)". Lineage: Eukaryota; Metazoa; Chordata; Actinopteri; Perciformes; Bovichtidae. The record is from RNAcentral.